RNAcentral lists this ribosomal RNA (467 nucleotides) under uncultured bacterium. Its description in RNAcentral is "bacterial SSU rRNA". It matches the Rfam family "Bacterial small subunit ribosomal RNA", at positions 1 to 454 of the family's 1533-position model. The record is from RNAcentral.
CCCUUAGAGUUUGAUCCUGGCUCAGGAUGAACGCUGGCGGCGUGCCUAACACAUGCAAGUCGAACGAAGCAAUUGAAGGAAGUUUUCGGAUGGAAUUCGAUUGACUGAGUGGCGGACGGGUGAGUAACGCGUGGAUAACCUGCCUCACACUGGGGGAUAACAGUUAGAAAUGACUGCUAAUACCGCAUAAGCGCACAGUACCGCAUGGUACGGUGUGAAAAACUCCGGUGGUGUGAAAUGGAUCCGCGUCUGAUUAGCCAGUUGGCGGGGUAACGGCCCACCAAAGCGACGAUCAGUAGCCGACCUGAGAGGGUGACCGGCCACAUUGGGACUGAGACACGGCCCAAACUCCUACGGGAGGCAGCAGUGGGGAAUAUUGCACAAUGGGCGAAAGCCUGAUGCAGCGACGCCGCGUGAGUGAAGAAGUAUUUCGGUAUGUAAAGCUCAUCAGCAGGAAGAAAAUGACG